GAUGAACGCUGGCGGCGUGCCUAAUACAUGCAAGUCGAGCGGACAGACGAGGGCUUUCCCUUUCUGACGAUAGCCGCGGACGGGAGAGUAACACGUGGAUCACCUACCUAUAAGACUAGGAUAACCUCGGGAAGCCGGCGCUAAUACCGGAUGAUAUAUUGCACCGCAUGGUUCAAUUGGGAAAGACUUUUUUGCUGUCACUUCUCGAUGCCUCCGCGCCGCAUUGGCUGGUUGGUAAGGAAACGGCUUACCACGGCAACGAUGCGUAGCCGACCGGAGGGGGUGAUCGCCCACACGAGAACGGAGACGCGGACCCGGCGCCUACGGGAGGCAGCAGUAGGGAACGGUCCGCAGUGGUCGAGAACAUGACGGAGCAGCGCCGCGCGAGUGACGGAGGUCCUCGGAUCGUAAUAAUCUCUUACGAGUGAAGAACAAAUGUGUAAGUAAAUAUACACGUAGUGACGGUACCUGAACAGAAAGCCACGGCUAACUACGUG
Molecule: ribosomal RNA, 497 nt
Filed under: uncultured bacterium
Lineage: Bacteria
Description: partial 16S ribosomal RNA
Rfam family: Bacterial small subunit ribosomal RNA
Source: RNAcentral